Molecule: ribosomal RNA, 249 nt
Filed under: uncultured bacterium
Lineage: Bacteria
Description: partial 16S ribosomal RNA
Rfam family: Bacterial small subunit ribosomal RNA
Source: RNAcentral
CACGCCCUAAACGAUGCGAACUGGACGUUGGGCACACUUAGGUGCUCAGUGUCGAAGCUAACGCGUUAAGUUCGCCGCCUGGGGAGUACGGUCGCAAGACUGAAACUCAAAGGAAUUGACGGGGACCCGCACAAGCGGUGGAUGAUGUGGAUUAAUUCGAUGCAACGCGAAAAACCUUACCUACCCUUGACAUGUCCGGAACCCUGGUGAGAGCUGGGGGUGCCCGAAAGGGAAUCGGAACACAGGUGC